CUGAGGUGAAUGUGGCUUCAACGUUGGCGGUGGGAUUUGGAGAGGUUUCUCACAUCCACGAUGCCUAUGGUGCAUGUGCAGUACUUGUCCAAGCAUUUGUACUGCAUCUGCAGUUACAAGCCGACGACAUUACAGAUUGAAUCCUGACCUGAAUUUAGACCGAAGCAGAUCCUUCAGCUCUGGUUCACGGUUAGUAUAUUUGUUGAGUUAACCUCUGUAUUGCCAUGCCUAAUAAUUUGGUAAGACAAGCUAAAAUUGUUGGGUCUAUCAUAACAAUAAUUAAAUUAUUUGUUCAACAGA
This is a long non-coding RNA of Sorghum bicolor (sorghum), 300 nucleotides long. RefSeq lists it as uncharacterized. The record is from RefSeq and is a predicted model, not a curated record. NCBI's taxonomy places the organism in Eukaryota, Viridiplantae, Streptophyta, Magnoliopsida, Poales, Poaceae. The transcript is spliced from 2 exons.